AGCAUAUCAAUAAGCGGAGGAAAAGAAACCAACAGGGAUUGCCUCAGUAACGGCGAGUGAAGCGGCAACAGCUCAAAUUUGAAAUCUGGCCCUAGGCCCGAGUUGUAAUUUGCAGAGGAUGCUUUUGGUGCGGUGCCUUCCAAGUUCCCUAGAACGGGACGCCAGAGAGGGUGAGAGCCCCGUACAGUUGGACACCAAGCCUUUGUAAAGCUCCUUCGACGAGUCGAGUAGUUUGGGAAUGCUGCUCAAAAUGGGAGGUAUAUUUCUUCUAAAGCUAAAUACCGGCCAGAGACCGAUAGCGCACAAGUAGAGUGAUCGAAAGAUGAAAAGCACUUUGAAAAGAGGGUUAAACAGCACGUGAAAUUGUUAAAAGGGAAGCGCUUGUGACCAGACUUGCGUCCGGUGAAUCACCCAGCUCUCGCGGCUGGGGCACUUCGCCGGCUCAGGCCAGCAUCAGCUCGCUGUCGGGGACAAAAGCUUCGGGAACGUAGCUCUCUUCGGGGAGUGUUAUAGCCUGUUGCACAAUACCCUUCGGCGGGCUGAGGUACGCGCUCCGCAAGGAUGCUGGCAUAAUGGUCAUCAGCGACCCGUCUUGAAACACGGACCAAGGAGUCAACCUUAUGUGCGAGUGUUCGGGUGUCAAACCCCUACGCGUAAUGAAAGUGAACGCAGGUGAGAGCUUCGGCGCAUCAUCGACCGAUCCUGAUGUUCUCGGAUGGAUUUGAGUAAGAGCAUAUAGGGUUGGACCCGAAAGAAGGUGAACUAUGCGUGUAUAGGGUGAAGCCAGAGGAAACUCUGGUGGAGGCUCGCAGCGGUUCUGACGUGCAAAUCGAUCGUCAAAUAUGCGCAUGGGGGCGAAAGACUAAUCGAACCUUCUAGUAGCUGGUUCCCCAU
Molecule: ribosomal RNA, 894 nt
Filed under: Colletotrichum theobromicola
Lineage: Eukaryota; Fungi; Ascomycota; Sordariomycetes; Glomerellales; Glomerellaceae
Description: LSU rRNA
Rfam family: Eukaryotic large subunit ribosomal RNA
Source: RNAcentral